RNAcentral lists this ribosomal RNA (464 nucleotides) under Rhodopetala rosea. Its description in RNAcentral is "partial large subunit ribosomal RNA". It matches the Rfam family "Bacterial large subunit ribosomal RNA", at positions 1797 to 2536 of the family's 2925-position model. The record is from RNAcentral. Lineage: Eukaryota; Metazoa; Mollusca; Gastropoda; Acmaeidae.
CGCCUGUUUAACAAAAACAUCGCUCUCUGUGUAUAAAAAAUAAAGAGUCUUACCUGCUCAAUGAAUUUAAUAAUUUAAAUAGCCGCGGUACUCUAACCGUGCAAAGGUAGCAUAAUCAUUUGCCUUUUAAUUAAUGGCCAGUAUGAAUGGUAUAAUGAGAGUAAAGCUGUCUCCUUAUUACUUUAUUGAAAUUAACCUUUAGGCGAAAAGACCUAAAUAAAUAUACAAGACAAAUAGACCCUAUCGAACUUCAAGUGUUAAAAGCAAUUUACUAAAAAUAAGAAGCCUUAAAACUUUUAGUUGGGGCAACUUAGGAACAAACAAAGCUUCCUUUUAUUAAUAUAACUCUCGAGUUAAGGCCCAGGAAUUUUUCCUGAUAAACGGAAAAAGUUACCGUAGGGAUAACAGCGUAAUUCCCCUGGUGAGCCCUUAUUAAAAGGGGAGUUUGCGACCUCGAUGUGGAU